This 501-nucleotide ribosomal RNA is filed under the name uncultured bacterium. Its description in RNAcentral is "partial 16S ribosomal RNA". It matches the Rfam family "Bacterial small subunit ribosomal RNA", at positions 29 to 523 of the family's 1533-position model. The record is from RNAcentral.
AUUGAACGCUGGCGGCAUGCCUUACACAUGCAAGUCGAACGGCAGCACGGGUGCUUGCACCUGGUGGCGAGUGGCGAACGGGUGAGUAAUACAUCGGAACGUACCUUAUCGUGGGGGAUAACGCAGCGAAAGCUGUGCUAAUACCGCAUACGCCCUGAGGGGGAAAGCGGGGGAUCGCAAGACCUCGCGCGAUUAGAGCGGCUGAUGCCUGAUUAGCUUGUUGGUGGGGUAAAAGCCCACCAAGGCGAGGAUCAGUAGCUGGUCGGAAAGGACGAGAGGCCAAACUGGGAAUGAGACACGGCCCAGACGCCUAGGGGAGGCGGCAGUGGGGAAUUUUGUACGAUGGGGGCAACCCUGAUCCAGCAAUGCCGCGUGAUGGAAGAAGGCCUUCGGGUUGUAAAGCUCUUUUGUCAGGGAAGAAACACCGGCUCUAACACAGUCCGGGAAUGACGGUACCUGAAGAAUAAGCACCGGCUAACUACGUGCCAGCCGCCGCCGUAA